UACGUAGGUGGCAAGCGUUGUCCGGAUUUACUGGGCGUAAAGAGCGCGCAGGCGGUCGUUCAAGUCGCGUGUGAAAGCCCCCGGCUCAACUGGGGAGGGUCACGCGAUACUGAUCGACUCGAAGGCAGGAGAGGGAAGUGGAAUUCCCGGUGUAGUGGUGAAAUGCGUAGAUAUCGGGAGGAACACCAGUGGCGAAGGCGGCCUACUGGGCUGCACCUGACGCUGAGCCGCGAAAGCCAGGGGAGCGAACGGG
RNAcentral lists this ribosomal RNA (253 nucleotides) under uncultured bacterium. Its description in RNAcentral is "partial 16S ribosomal RNA". It matches the Rfam family "Bacterial small subunit ribosomal RNA", at positions 524 to 776 of the family's 1533-position model. The record is from RNAcentral.